GGCGUUUCUUAGUUAAGAUAACAGGGCUUACUACAGUAUUCUUUAAUUAUCAAGGUCCCUUGUAACUCUAAGUCUGUUAUCUCUAAUUGGAGAGAUAAUUAAAUCUUAAAGACCACUCUGACUCUAAUUCAACCAACGUGUGUGGUGUCCAGGAUCGUUGGACUUCCUUAAGAAUUCUAUUUUAUCCAGGCUGGAGUGCAACGGCGUGACUUGGCUCACUGCAACUUCCACCUCCCGGGUUCAAGCGAUUCUCCUGCCUCAGCCUUAC
This 268-nucleotide long non-coding RNA is filed under the name Homo sapiens (human). Its description in RNAcentral is "HSALNT0308760". The record is from RNAcentral. Lineage: Eukaryota; Metazoa; Chordata; Mammalia; Primates; Hominidae.